Molecule: long non-coding RNA, 3768 nt
Filed under: Homo sapiens (human)
Lineage: Eukaryota; Metazoa; Chordata; Mammalia; Primates; Hominidae
Description: non-protein coding LINC01405:17
Source: RNAcentral
CUCUGUCUCUCCUGCCACCAUGUGAAGAAGGUGCUUGUUUCCCCUUUGCCUUCCGCCAUGAGUGUAAGUUUCCUGAGGUCUCCCAGUCAUACUGCUGGUUAAGCCUGCAGAACGGCUGGUCUUGAACUCCCAGCCUCAAGCCAUCCUCCCGCCUUGGCCUUUCAAAGUGCUGGAUUACAAGCGUGAGCCACCGUGCACAGCCAAGACACAAUUUUAAAUCGAGCGGUCAGGAAGCCUCCUGGAGAAAAUGACGUUUGAACAAAGACAUGAAGAAAGUGGAGAAUAUUUGGAGAAAAGCAUUUCAGGCAGAGGAAAGUGCCAGGGCAGAGGCCCCGAGGUGCUGCUGACAGCCAUCGUGUGCUGCGGAGGAAGAUUGCCUGAGAAUGGAGCCAUUCAGGAGGAAAUGGGGCAGAGAAAUAAAGAGAAAUCAAAUCCCAUCUUUUCAGUCCCGCUUCCCUCACUCCCUCAUCCAUUCUUCCUGGCAGACUAUUCAGUUGUGCUUUUUAAGAUUUAUUCUGUUUUUGUUUUUCACCUAAGACGGUUUAGCUUGUUUGUUUUUCUCUUGUUUGCAACCAGUGUGUUCUAGCGGUUAUUACGAAUUUAAUAGACUUUAUACAAGAUUUUGUAAAGGGCAGAAAACUCAAGAUUGGACAGUGACUUUCUCCUAGGACACUAUCUUGCCGGUGCCCUCACCUCAGUCUCCACCCUGGAUCUCCGAUUUUGUCCCUGAAACUUCAAAUUCUUUUCCUUCAAUUAUACAAUGCAGCAGCUCUCCUUUCAGUAGUGCUACUUUGUACCCUACCCUGGGGAAGAGGUAGCUCAUAUUCGAACCUGAGCUCUUGGCAAGGUCUUUUUCCAGAUCUAAGGCAGUUCCCUUCCUAAGGGAGAGUCAGAUGCCACUGAGGAGAGAGAAAGGUAGUCGGAGGGAAUGUUAUGGCAGACACUGUGGUUGCUCACUAAUGUAACAUCCCUUCUCUUCUUCCUUGCUGUAAGGACUCUAAUCUUGUUCCGGGAUUUAAGGAAGGUGGGUUCAGCCUCUGGCUUAGAGGAUGGGCAUGUAACCCAGUCUGACCAGCAAGGUAUAAAGGUCAAUUUAUGGGCAGUCUGGGAAAGUUUUUCUUCCCCGAUAAGAGGAAAACAUAAGGGGAUCUCUCUGCUCUAAGCCUCCAAUUACUUCCUUCUCCAAAAGCAGUUAUGUGAGGAUGUGAUGCCUGGAGCUGUGGAAGCCAUUUUGUGACCAUGAGGAGAAAGCCAAGAGAAUAACAGAGACACUAUCCCAAUGUCCUGAGUAUUGUUCAGCUAUGAAACUAACCCUGGAAACUCCUUGGGCCACAUAGUAGAUAUUUUAAGUUUUGCCAGCCAUAUGUCUCUGUCAUGACUACUAAACUCUUCAUUUAUAUCGUGACAGCAGCCUUUGACAAUAUGUUAACAAAUGGAUGUGACUAUGUUCUGAGAAAACUUCAUUUUCAAAAACGGGCUAAGGGCCAGAUUUGCCCUGUGUGCCACUGUUUGGCACAACCUGUAUUUUUGGCCAUAUUAGCUGGAUUUGCAGUUACUUGCACUCAAAGCAUUUCUAACAGAGCAUGUAUGGGCUGCCCUAGAGGGCAGUCUCUCACCCCAAACACAGCUGUGCUCACAGGCUCAAUUGCCACUUGCUGGAAGCAACAGCUUAUUUUCUUCUGUCUACCAACAUUCAUUCACUCAACAAACGUCUAUUGAGUGCCUACUCUGUGUCAGGAACUGUUCUGAUGCUGGGGCUAAAAUAGGAGAUGUUGAACCCUUUCCUUGGGGAGUUCUCUUUAUAUAACAUUGGGAAUCAAGAAAGCCUUCCUAGAGGAGGUGAUAACUAAGUUAGCUCUGAAGGGUGAAUAAGAGUUAGGAAGAUAAAGGGCAAAACAUGUGGGCCUGGGCGGGUAGGAGGGCAUUCCAGGCAAAAGUAAGAGGGGACAUGGCGCAUAUGUGAUUAGAAAAUGGAAAAUGAGGGAAAGAGUGGAGGAGAGUGAGGCCAGAGAGGUUAAAUGAGACCAGAUCACAUGUGAGCUGGUAGGUCAUUGGUUUUCACAGUGAGAUGGGGCGAUUGAUUGGAGGUCUUUGAACAGAGGGGGACAUCAACCACUGACAGCUGCCUGGGCUAGGGUGAUGAAGAGGUCAUGAACAGGAGAUGGCCUUGAGAGAUUCCAAGGGGUAAAAUAGGACUCGAGGAUAAAGCAGAUGAGGGAAGUGUCUAGGAUGACAUGCAGGGUUCUGAUUCUUAACUAUUUUGUUGUAUCUCUAAAGAAAUAGACAUAGAGCAGAGGAGAAUUCAGAAAGUUUUUUUUGUUUGUUUUUGAGACAGAGUCUCACUCUGUCAUCCAGGCUGGAGUGCAGUGGCGAGAUCUCGGCUCGCUGCAACCUCCACCUUCCAGGUUUAUGUGAUUCUCCUGCCUCAGCUUCCUGAGUAUCUGGGACUAUAGGCACCCGCCACCACGCCUGGCUAAUUUUUGUAUUUUGAGUGGAGACGGGCUUUCACCUGGUCUCAAACUCCUGACCUCAGGUGAUCUGCCCGCCUUGGUUUCUCAAAGUGCUGGGAUUACAGGCAUGAGCCACUGUGCCCAGCCCAGAAAGUAUUUUUGAGGCCUUUGUGCAGUGGCUUUAUCAGAAACAAAGGAGCAAAAAAUAGACAGGAGCUUGGGCUCCUACCUCAUAAUCAAGUUUUGCCUUGCAUUUGUCCCAGAAAAUUCACUGGAUUAAUUGGACUUCAGCACAAUUGUCUUAAUUUAUAGCAUUAAGUAAAAUCUAUAUAUGUCAAGAUGCAAAGUGCAGGAAUGUAAUGGGGACUGUCACAGAGGCUGCUACAUCUGCAGUAUUCUUUCCUAACUGCCUAAGACCAUGGGGGAGGACAUGGUCUAAGAGCUAUGCAGGAACUAGGAAGGGACCUGGGCCUCGACCAAAAUUACAUGAGAACACCAUGUGUGCCAGGCAGUCCCUGAGUCCAGGGACUAUUUUACUAACGACUAACACUCUACUCUACUAAUCUAUUUUAAAAUUUCAUUUUAAUGGUUAUCAAAAUACUGCAGAUACAUUGAUUUUUUUAAAAAAAAGUCAAACAGUCCUUAUAUUUGCUAUGGAUUGCACAUGGCUGCAAGUAACAGAAAACCCGGUUGCUGGUAACAUAAACUAUAAGAAUUGAUUUUAAUAUUUUUGUGUUAUUCACAACCAGAGGUCCAGACGUGAGCAGUUUGUUAAGUGGCUCAACAGCAUCAGGUCAGAUGUGUUUCCAUUUUCUUGGCCUUUCCCUCAUGAUCACAAGAUGGCUGCUGCAGCUCCUUAAGUCAUCAAUCACAUCUGUGUUCCAGGCAGAAGGAAGGUAGCAAAGACUUUCCCAGAAAUCCCCAGCAGGUUUCUGAUUGUGUUAUUGGCAAGAGCUGUGUCUUAAUUACCCCCAGCUGCAAGGGAGUUUAAGAUGGUGAGAGUUUUUCUUUUUUUUAGCUUUUCAGCCUGUAUAGUAGAAAGUCAAGAUAAAGGAGGUUGGGAUGGGUGUCAAGUGGUCAGUAUCCACCAUGGUCCCCGUUCCCUGUCCCACCUCUCCUUAUCCUGAGUUCUCACUCUCCUGAAGUAAUUCUCUUCCUCCAUUUUUCUAAAUAAAAUGUUUAUUCUGUAAUUUCUUGAUUUUUUCCUCCAUUCAGAUACUGAUUGUCUCUCAACUAUGAAAGGUAAAGAUAUCUUCCCUCAUCACUAUCCCCACAUGCCACGCACAUGCCACACACACACACAGUCUUCACCACUUCA